GACGUAGGGGGCCAGCGUUGUUCGGAAUUACUGGGUGUAAAGGGUUCGUAGGCGGUGCGGCAAGUCGGGAGUGAAAUCUCUGGGCUCAACCCAGAGACUGCUUCCGAAACUGCUGUGCUUGAGUGUGGGAGAGGCGCGUGGAAUUGCAGGUGUAGCGGUGAAAUGCGUAGAUAUCUGCAGGAACACCCGUGGCGAAAGCGGCGCGCUGGACCACUACUGACGCUGAAGAACGAAAGCUAGGGGAGCAAACAGG
RNAcentral lists this ribosomal RNA (253 nucleotides) under uncultured bacterium. Its description in RNAcentral is "partial 16S ribosomal RNA". It matches the Rfam family "Bacterial small subunit ribosomal RNA", at positions 524 to 776 of the family's 1533-position model. The record is from RNAcentral.